AUACAAGCCAUAAUCCUUGUGCCACAUCCAUGAAAAACCCAAUAUACAAUUUGCAAUACCCACUUCUUCCCCGUUAUUAAGUUAUUUGUUUAGCUCCUGAAGCUAAAGGGGUUAUCAUGUUUCAGAACAUAGUGGAUACCAUUACUGGUGACAGUAGUAAUGUUAACAAGGAGAUGAAAUGUGUGAGUGGUGAGUGUAAGAAGAUCAAAGGCACUGUUGUGUUGAUGAAAAAGAAUGUUUUGGACUUCAAUGACUUCCCUGCCUCUGUUCUUGAUCAUCUUCAUGAGUUGUUUGGCCACGGAGUCUCUCUGCGACUCAUUAGUGCUGUCAACUGCAGUGAUGAGCCUGAAGCUGCAGAGAAUGGCAUGCGAGGGAAAGUAGGAAAGCCUGCAAAUUUGGAAGAUUGGAUUACUACAAAAGCUCCCUUAACAGCAGGAGACUCAGCAUUCAAAGUUACCUUUGAUUGGGAUGAUGAGAUUGCAGUUCCAGGGGCAUUCAUCAUAAGAAACAAUCAUCACAGUGAAUUUUACCUGAAAACUCUCACCCUUGAAGAUGUUCCUGGCCAAGGUCGAAUCCAUUUUGUCUGCAACUCAUGGGUUUACCCUGCCAAACGCUACAAGAAAGAUCGAAUUUUCUUUGCAAACAAGACAUAUCUGCCACAAGAGACACCAAUGCCACUGCUCAAAUACAGGGAGGAAGAACUCGAGAACUUGAGAGGAGAUGGAAAAGGAGAACUUCAGGAAUGGGAUCGUGUCUAUGAUUAUGCUUUCUAUAAUGAUUUGGGAGAGCCUGAUAAGGGUCCAAAGUAUGUCCGCCCAAUUCUUGGAGGAUCUGCAGAGUACCCUUAUCCUCGCAGGGGAAGAACUGGCAGAGCACCAGCAAAAUCAGAUCUCAACUAUGAAAGCAGGCUGCCGCUUCUGAUGAGCUUGAACAUAUAUGUUCCAAGAGAUGAACGAUUUGGUCACCUGAAGAUGGCUGACUUCCUUGCUUAUGCACUGAAAUCUAUAGCUCAAUUUAUUAAACCUGAACUAGAAGCCCUAUUUGACAGCACCCCAAAUGAAUUUGACUCUUUUGACGAUGUAUUAAAGCUCUAUGAGGGAGGGAUUGAGCUCCCUGAUGGCCCCUUACUGGAUAAUAUAAGGAAAAACAUUCCACUGGAGAUGCUUAAGGAAAUUUUCCGAACAGAUGGAGAGAGGCUUUUCAAAUUUCCAGUGCCUCAAGUAAUUAAAGAGAGUAAGACGGCAUGGAGGACUGAUGAAGAAUUUGGCAGAGAAAUGCUGGCUGGUGUAAACCCUGUCAUCAUUCGUUGUCUCAAGGAAUUCCCUCCAAAAAGCAAGCUAGACAGCAAACUAUAUGGUGAUCAAAACAGUAAAAUAACUGAAGGAGACAUAAAGAAUAGCCUGGAUGGAUUGCCCGUAGAUGAGGCAAUCAAGAACAACAAGUUAUACAUAUUAGACCACCAUGAUACAGUGAUGCCAUAUCUGAGGAGGAUAAAUGCUACUUCCACAAAGACAUAUGCAACAAGGACCCUACUUUUCUUGAAAGGUGAUGGUACUCUGAAGCCUAUUGCAAUUGAAUUAAGCUUGCCUCAUCCUGAGGGAGAUCAAUUCGGAGCUAUUAGCAAAGUUUACAUACCAGCUGAAAAUGGUGUUGAAAGUUCUAUUUGGCAAUUGGCUAAAGCUUAUGUGGCUGUAAUUGACUCUGGCAUUCACCAACUUAUUAGCCACUGGUUGCAUACACAUGCAGCAAUUGAGCCAUUUGUGAUUGCAACAAAUAGGCAUCUAAGUGUGCUUCAUCCGAUAUACAAACUUCUGCUCCCUCACUUCCGUGACACAAUGAACAUAAAUGCAGUUGCCAGACAGAUACUCAUUAAUGCUGCUGGAUUGUUGGAGUUUACAGUAUUUCCUGCAAAGUAUGCCAUGGAACUGACAUCCAUGGCUUACAAAAGCUGGAAUUUCACUGAGCAAGCGCUUCCUAAGGAUCUAAAGAAGAGAGGAAUGGCAGUUGAUGAUCCUAAUUCCCCACAUGGUCUCCGCUUACUGUUAAAAGACUACCCCUAUGCCGUUGAUGGGCUUGAGAUAUGGUCUGC
Molecule: unclassified non-coding RNA, 2089 nt
Filed under: Hevea brasiliensis (rubber tree)
Lineage: Eukaryota; Viridiplantae; Streptophyta; Magnoliopsida; Malpighiales; Euphorbiaceae
Source: RNAcentral